RNAcentral lists this ribosomal RNA (277 nucleotides) under Clostridioides difficile. RNAcentral's name for it is "partial 23S ribosomal RNA". It matches the Rfam family "Bacterial large subunit ribosomal RNA", at positions 1412 to 1686 of the family's 2925-position model. Lineage: Bacteria; Bacillati; Bacillota; Clostridia; Peptostreptococcales; Peptostreptococcaceae. The record is from RNAcentral.
UAGGUUAGUGACAAGAGGUUGAUAUUCGUGGACUUACGAUAACAUUUUGUGGGAUGGGAUGCCAAAAGAGAGUAAAUGAAUCGGACUGUUGGUUUGUUGUGCCCAAGCAUUGAGGCAGUCAAAGUAGGUAAAUCCGCUUUGAUAAUGCUAGGAUGUGAUGGGGAGCGAAAUUUAGUAGCGAAGUAGCUGAUUUCACACUGUCAAGAAAAGUCUCUAUCGAGGUUAAAGGUACCCGUACCGCAAACCGACACAGGUGGGUGAGGAGAGUAUCCUAAGG